RNAcentral lists this ribosomal RNA (1216 nucleotides) under metagenome. Its description in RNAcentral is "bacterial SSU rRNA". It matches the Rfam family "Bacterial small subunit ribosomal RNA", at positions 297 to 1498 of the family's 1533-position model. The record is from RNAcentral.
AGGUUGGCCGGUCACACUGGGACUGAGACACUGCCCAGACUCCUGCGGGAGGCUGCAGUCGAGAAUCUUCCGCAAUGGACGCAAGUCUGACGGGGCGACGCCGCGUGGGGGAUGAAGGCUUUCGGGUUGUAAACCCCUGUUGCACGCUAGGAAUAUCUGUGGGUUAAUAGCCUUGCAGGUUGACCAUCGUGUGAGGAAGCACAGGCUAACUCCGUGCCAGCAGCCGCGGUAAUACGGAGUGUGCAAGCGUUACUCGGAAUCACUGGGCAUAAAGAGCACGUAGGCGGGCCGCUUAGUCGGUAGUGAAAGCCCUCAGCUCAACUGAGGAACUGCUACCGAAACUGGUGGCCUUGAGGACAAGAGGGGAGAGUGGAACUUCUGGUGGAGCGGUGAAAUGCGUAGAUAUCAGAAGGAACACCGGUGGCGAAAGCGACUCUCUGGCUUGUUUCUGACGCUGAGGUGCGAAAGCGUGGGUAGCAAACAGGAUUAGAUACCCUGGUAGUCACGCCGUAAACGAUGGGCACUAAGCAGGGGAGGUUCCGAUGCCUUCCUUGCUGGAGCUAAUGUAUUAAGUGCCCCGCCUGGGAAGUACAGUCGCAAGGCCGAAACUCAAAGGAAUUGACGGGGGCUCACACAAGCGGUGGAGCAUGUGGUUUAAUUCGAAACAACGCGCAAAACCUUACCUGGGUUUGACAUGCACGGACUAGCCCCUAGAAACAGGGGUGACGCCCGCAAGGGUGGAACGUGCACAGGUGCUGCAUGGCUGUCGUCAGCUCGUGUCGUGAGAUGUCGGGUUAAGUCCCUUAACGAGCGAAACCCUUGCCGUUAGUUGCCAGCGGAUAAUGCCGGGGACUCUAGCGGGACUGCCGUGGUCAACACGGAGGAAGGCGGGGAUGACGUCAAGUCCUCAUGGCCUUUAUGCCCAGGGCUACACACGUGCUAUAAUGGCCGGUACAAAGCGACGCAAGACCGUAAGGUGGAGCUAACCGCACAAAGCCGGUCCCAGUACGGAUUGAGGGCUGCAAUCCGCCCUCAUGAAGUUGGAAUCGCUAGUAAUCGCGGAUCAGCAUUGCCGCGGUGAAUAUGUUCCUGAGCCUUGUACACACCGCCCGUCAAGCCACGGAAGCCGGUAGUGCCCAAAGUCGCUGGCCCAACCCGCAAGGGGGGGAGGCGCCUACGGUAAGACCGGUGACUGGGACUAAGUCGUAACAAGGUA